AUUGAACGCUGGCGGCAGGCUUAACACAUGCAAGUCGAGCGGGGGAAGGUAGCUUGCUACCGGACCUAGCGGCGGACGGGUGAGUAAUGCUUAGGAAUCUGCCUAUUAGUGGGGGACAACAUCUCGAAAGGGAUGCUAAUACCGCAUACGUCCUACGGGAGAAAGCAGGGGAUCUUCGGACCUUGCGCUAAUAGAUGAGCCUAAGUCCGAUUAGCUAGUUGGUUAGGUAAAGGCUGACCAAGGCGAUGAUCGGUAGCUGGUCUGAGAGGAUGAUCAGCCACACUGGGACUGAGACACGGCCCAGACUCCUACGGGAGGCAGCAGUGGGGAAUAUUGGACAAUGGGGGCAACCCUGAUCCAGCAAUGCCGCGUGUGUGAAGAAGGCCUUCGGGUUGUAAAGCACUUUAGUUGGGGAAGAAGGUGUAUUGUUUAAGAGAUGAUACAUUUGACUGUACCCAAAGAAUAAGCACCGGCUAACUCUGUGCCAGCAGCCGCCGUAA
RNAcentral lists this ribosomal RNA (500 nucleotides) under uncultured bacterium. RNAcentral's name for it is "partial 16S ribosomal RNA". It matches the Rfam family "Bacterial small subunit ribosomal RNA", at positions 30 to 523 of the family's 1533-position model. The record is from RNAcentral.